Molecule: long non-coding RNA, 252 nt
Organism: Ixodes scapularis (black-legged tick)
Lineage: Eukaryota; Metazoa; Arthropoda; Arachnida; Ixodida; Ixodidae
Exons: 3
Source: RefSeq, a predicted model, not a curated record
AAUAGGCGAUAUUUACUACCGUCCCAUAUAAAACGGAGACGGGAUACUGCCUAUCUAGUCGUGCCAGCAAACUUGGAAGGUGGUGUAUCCCCUCUCGUUCGGCCAACAUCAUCAGACCAGCCGAGCUGUCAAGAAUUCUGGACGAACUGUGUGUGAAGGGAUUCAAGGUUUUGGCGAAUAUCUUGGACGUCGCAAAAAGAGUUAUCGAAAAUGGAGGGAAACAAAACACCAGAACGCACGGCUCCACCUUCC